Molecule: small nucleolar RNA, 84 nt
Organism: Rhodamnia argentea
Lineage: Eukaryota; Viridiplantae; Streptophyta; Magnoliopsida; Myrtales; Myrtaceae
Product: small nucleolar RNA SNORD34
Exons: 1
Source: RefSeq, a predicted model, not a curated record
GGAGGCCUGUGAUGAUCUUCUUACAGUCUUGCCUACAUUGCCUGACUAUACGUAUGAUUAUGUCAUCGACUUUCCGAGGCUCUC